RNAcentral lists this ribosomal RNA (465 nucleotides) under uncultured bacterium. Its description in RNAcentral is "partial 16S ribosomal RNA". It matches the Rfam family "Bacterial small subunit ribosomal RNA", at positions 338 to 795 of the family's 1533-position model. The record is from RNAcentral.
CCUACGGGUGGCAGCAGUAGGGAAUCUUCCACAAUGGACGAAAGUCUGAUGGAGCAACGCCGCGUGAGUGAAGAAGGGUUUCGGCUCGUAAAGCUCUGUUGGUAGUGAAGAAAGAUAGAGGUAGGAAAUGGCCUUUAUUUGACGGUACUUACAUAGAAAGUCACGGCUAACUACGUGCCAGCAGCCGCGGUAAUACGUAGGUGGCAAGCGUUGUCCGGAUUUAUUGGGCGUAAAGCGAGUGCAGGCGGUUCAAUAAGUCUGAUGUGAAAGCCCUCGGCUCAACCGGAGAAAUGCAUCCGAAACGGUUGAACUAGAGUGCAGAAGAGGAGAGUGGAACUGCAGGGGUAGCGGUGGAAUGCGUAGAUAUAUGGAAGAACACCAGUGGCGAAGGCGGCUCUCUGGCCUGCAACUGACGCUGAGGCUCGAAAGCAUGGGUAGCGAACAGGAUUAGAUACCCGUGUAGUC